AUUGAACGCUGGCGGCAGGCCUAACACAUGCAAGUCGAGCGGAUGAAGGGAGCUUGCUCCUGGAUUCAGCGGCGGACGGGUGUGUAAUGCCUAUGAAUCUGCCUGGUAGUGGGGGAUAACGUCCGGAAACGGGCGCUAAUACCGCAUACGUCCUGAGGGAGAAAGUGGGGGAUCUUCGGACCUCACGCUAUCAGAUGAGCCUAGGUCGGAUUAGCUAGUUGGUGGGGUAAAGGCCUACCAAGGCGACGAUCCGUAACUGGUCUGAGAGGAUGAUCAGUCACACUGGAACUGAGACACGGUCCAGACUCCUACGGGAGGCAGCAGUGGGGAAUAUUGGACGAUGGGCGAAAGCCUGAUCCAGCCAUGCCGCGUGUGUGAAGAAGGUCUUCGGAUUGUAAAGCACUUUAAGUUGGGAGGAAGGGCAGUAAGUUAAUACCUUGCUGUUUUGACGUUACCAACAGAAUAAGCACCGGCUAACUUCGUG
This 484-nucleotide ribosomal RNA is filed under the name uncultured bacterium. RNAcentral's name for it is "partial 16S ribosomal RNA". It matches the Rfam family "Bacterial small subunit ribosomal RNA", at positions 30 to 507 of the family's 1533-position model. The record is from RNAcentral.